GGCAAGGAUGUUAAGCCAAGGAUUCUGCAUGGAGCUAAAAGAGGCAUUUUUCCUGUGAGGCUGGCAGCAGUAGGAGAAUUUGCAUCACAGAGCCUUCAUCCAGUCACUGAUGGAAGCAGAAGCAGAGAUCCACAGCUAAGCACUGGGCUGAGCUCCUGGAGUCCAGAUGAAGAGAGAGAGGAAGGAUUAUAUGAGCAAGUGGAGGUCAAGAUCAUGAUGGGGAAAACCACAGAGACAGCUGACCUGAGCUAGUGGGAGUUCACAGACUCUGGACUGACAGCUGGGGAGCCUGCAUGGGAUCAAACUAGGCCCUUUGAAUCACCUUGCACUGCGAAGUACAUGGCUCAUCUGGAACAAAAGAUUGAAGCAUAGAUUUUUCAGCCAUCUUGCCUGUAUGCAUAAACGAUGCACUUUGUAUGACUUGAGUGAACUGGGGUAACUUUGUAACCUCUCUUCUCAGCUUCAUAGCUUAUGUA
Peromyscus eremicus (cactus mouse) is the source of this 476-nucleotide long non-coding RNA. RefSeq lists it as uncharacterized. The transcript is spliced from 3 exons. NCBI's taxonomy places the organism in Eukaryota, Metazoa, Chordata, Mammalia, Rodentia, Cricetidae. The record is from RefSeq and is a predicted model, not a curated record.